UAGAGAUUGAUAAAACAAUAUGGCAACCCUUGAUUGAAAUUAAGGUAAGUUAACGACCAAUUGAUCAUAAAAUUGUCUUCUAAAUCUAU
RNAcentral lists this small nucleolar RNA (89 nucleotides) under Tetranychus urticae (two-spotted spider mite). RNAcentral's name for it is "snoRNA tetur25g02073". Lineage: Eukaryota; Metazoa; Arthropoda; Arachnida; Trombidiformes; Tetranychidae. The record is from RNAcentral.